Molecule: small RNA, 6112 nt
Filed under: Pan troglodytes (chimpanzee)
Lineage: Eukaryota; Metazoa; Chordata; Mammalia; Primates; Hominidae
Description: retained intron
Source: RNAcentral
AACAAGAUGUCCCCCAGCGGCGGAGCUCCCCAAACCACCCCGACUCUGAGGAGUCGUCCAAAAGAUCUUCCUGUGAGAAGGAAGACUGAUGUGAUCAGUGACACGUUCCCAGGUAAAAUCAGAGAUGGCUACAGAUCCAGCGUUCUUGACAUUGACGCCCUGAUGGCUGAGUACCAGGAGCUGUCGCUGAAAGUCCCUGGGGAGGCUCAGGAGAGGAGGAGUCCCACCGCGGAGCCCAGUACGUUGCCUCGGGAGAGGCCUGUUCAGCUGGGCGGGGUGGAGCAGAGAAGGAGGAGCCUGAAGGAGAUGCCCGAUACCGGGGGUCUCUGGAAACCGGCCAGUUCUGCCGAAAUAAACCACAGUUUCACUCCUGGCUUAGGCAAGCAGCUGGCAGAGACCUUGGAGACAGCCAUGGGCACCAAAUCUAGCCCUCCCUUCUGGGCUCUGCCACCCUCGGCUCCUUCUGAAAGGUAUCCAGGGGGCUCUCCUAUACCUGCGGAUCCCAGGAAAAAAACGGGGUUUGCUGAGGAUGACAGAAAGGCCUUUGCCAGUAAACAUCAUGUUGCAAAGUGUCAGAAUUACCUGGCUGAGUCAAAGCCCUCUGGUCGGGAGGAUCCAGGCAGUGGGGUCAGAGUGUCACCCAAAUCGCCCCCCACUGACCAGAAGAAAGGGACCCCAAGGAAAUCCACCGGGCGGGGAGAGGAGGACAGUGUGGCCCAGUGGGGUGACCACCCACGUGACUGUGGACGGGUGCCGCUGGAUAUCAAGAGGGCCUGCUCAGAGAAGGGGCCCCCUGCCAACAUCCGAGAGGGCCUGUCCAUCAUGCAUGAAGCCAGAGAGAGGAGGCGAGAGCAGCCCAAAGGGAGGCCCAGCCUUACUGGAGAGAAUUUGGAGGCCAAAAUGGGACCCUGUUGGUGGGAGUCAGGGACUGGAGACAGUCACAAGGUGCUGCCACGGGACCUGGAGAAGGAGGAUGCCCCCCAGGAGAAGGAGCGACCGCUCCAGCAGGUGUCCCCUGUGGCCUCGGUUCCCUGGAGAAGCCACAGCUUCUGCAAAGACAGGAGGAGUGGGCCCUUUGUGGACCAGCUGAAGCAGUGUUUCUCCCGGCGGCCCACUGAACCCAAGGACACUGACACCCUCGUGCACGAAGCCGGCAGCCAGUAUGGGACGUGGACAGAGCAGUGCCAGAGCGGGGAGAGCUUGGCCACUGAGUCCCCAGAUAGCAGUGCCACAUCGACAAGGAAACAGCCCCCCAGCAGCCGUUUGUCUUCUCUGUCCUCCCAAACGGAGCCCACCUCGGCAGGGGACCAGUAUGACUGCUCCAGGGACCAGCGGAGCACCAGCGUGGACCACUCCAGCACUGACCUGGAAUCCACCGAUGGGAUGGAGGGGCCGCCUCCACCGGACGCCUGCCCUGAAAAGAGAGUAGAUGACUUCUCCUUCAUUGAUGUAAGUCAGUGGCCAGGAGCAUUUCUUCUUAAAUGGAAAUUCCAGCCUGUCUCUGUGAAUUGCCACUUCAGGUGUAGGAUCUGUGUGCCAGGGACCCUUGGAGUGGGUACGGAGGGCACUGUCUUUGAAAUGGGACUCACUUAUGCAUGUAUCUUGGACCUGCCAUACACCUGCUGUGUGUCUUGGGGCAAAUGUCUUCACCUCUCUGAGCCUCAGCUUCCUUAUCCACUUGUAACCAGCAUCAACAGCUCCACAGCCUCAAAUACAAUUGCAUGCAUUCAAAUUAAAACUGAUCUAAGCCCUCACCUGCCAGGUAAGCAGGGAGUCUGACCACUUACCCCUGGGCAGUCACCCUGAGGUUUAUAGUUGCAAGCAUGAAGAGCCUGGAGUUUGCUCAGAAUGAUUCUGCUGAACGUUCUCACUAAGGUCUUGCUUGGUACAACAGUGUCCCUGGUAUCAGGGGAUCCGACUGUCUCUGUAGUGGCUCUUCCAGGACAGAAAGUCCCCUCAGGCAUGGGCACCUUUCAUGGAGGUCCCAGGGGACAGCCCCUAGCACUCAGCUCUUUCAGGUCCCAAGCACAGCCAGGAUGUCAGCUGCCCCAGCGUAGCAGGUCAAACGGUCUCCUGCUCUAGCAUCUUCCAGACCAGAACUUAUCCUCCUUUCCCCUGGGAGCCCCAUCUCCAGGGGUCAGGCAGGUCUUCCUUUUCAACCCUUGAAACCCAGGAGUGAUGUCAUUAUUCUCCUCGCAUAACAAUAGGGCUACCUGCCCACUCUCUGGGGGAUGGAAUGUCUGCAAAAUGUGAAAGGGACCCUCUCUCCUCGCAGUAAAGCCUCCCACCUACACACUUGGGCAUGGCUACCCACAUUUCCCCAGAGGAGGAACACCGCUGCUUUAGAAAAAGGGCUUCCUUUAGGGCUUCAAAGAGGAUUCUCCUUCAGUAUAUGGCCAAGGUCUCUCGCUGGCACCUCUAGAUCAGGGCAGAGACAAAGAAAGACACAAGUUGAGUCUUGAUUGGGAAACCCCAUUAUAUAACCAUGGCCAUGCCCACCUCCCUGGGUGUCAUCAGGAUUUAGUUGGGUGAUAUAUUCAGUUAUUCACUCAACAGACAUGUAUUGAGAUCUUGCUGUGUGCCUUACAUACCAGCAUCAUGUCACUGCAUCAUGAACUUUCCUGCUAGAACGCUAAGUGGUUCCUUCUUGAUGUCCAUUAUAAACAACAGUCAGUGAGUGUUGACCACUGGCCCAGGCACAUGUUAAUAACCCCAGAGGCAAAACUGCCUGCCCAUUUUGCAAAUUAGCAAAUCAAAGUGGCCAUGGAGUGACUCUAAAUGCUGGUGUCCCUAAGCAUAGGUCUAACGCUUACUGAAAUUAUACUGAGGUUUAUGUGUGAUGCCCACCAUGAUUUGGGUCUCCUGUGGGGAUACUGAGGUUUAUGUAUGGUGCCAACCAUGAUUUAGGUCUCCUGUGGGGACGGUUUGGAGGCCAAAUGGGGAGGCGGAGGCGGGGCACUAAGGAAUCCAGUCUCUGUACCAGGCUGAGGAUGCAAGGGUGGCACCAUCUUCCCCUCCAAGCCAGCCCCUCUGUCAGCGUGAUUCUGUCCUGCUCUCUUGGACUCUGAAAACCUGGCUCUGUUAAGUGGCCGGAGAAGCAAGCCUGCCUCUAGGUGCAGCAGGCACUUUCUGAUUUCUGUCUUUCCCCCUCUUUCGCUGGUCCCGUGCAAGUCUCCUCACAAGAUACCACUGUGGCUGGUUUGGGAAGUAGCUAUGAUCAGCUCCUUCCACCACCCCAUUGGGACUUUUGUUACUUACCAUUGUUGGGAAAUGAUUCAUUGAAAUUAGCCUGUCAUCACUGACUUAGAAGGCCUUGGGUGAUGGAAUUUCUCCAAAGUGGACCUAGGUGGAAGAAACCAACAUUUCAUGUAAGAACGUGAGCUUGCCGGAAAGAGCUCUUGGCUGUGAGCCGUGGUCAGGCUCUGACUGAAACAAGGGCUUUCCACACCUGAGCACAGGGAGUUCUCUCAGCCACUGUAGGAAGGAGGCACUCUGUUUAUCUCCUUUUUAUAAAUAGGGACACCCAAGCUCAGAGAAGUGAAGCUCAUUGCCCAAGGUCACAUAGCCAGGAUUCGAACCCAGCAGAGUUUGAACCCCAGCUCUGAGCACUUCACUGCUGUCUCCCAGGAGAAUUCUGAGCCAGGCACUUCCCAUCUCCUUACUGGGGCCCACCCAGAUGGUCUGUGCUCCCCACCCUUUCACUGGGGAUAGUAGUGACUUGGCAGCCCUCACCAACCCCCCACCUGUCGCAGCUCAGAGUGUGAGUCUUCAGGGAUGCCUGAAAAUUGACUCCUGAUGUUUAGUAAGCUGCCCCCUCCCUUCCCACCUGCACCCUAGAUUAUGUGAGUAAUGGAGGAAUUCCACGGAGAAUGUCUCAACCCGGGGACUCUGUGUGAAUACAGUUGACAGAAGGAUUUAGUUAGAUGUUGAAUCCAUUAUUCAUUCAACAAACAAACAUUUAUUGAGCUCCUGCUGUGUACUGAUCAUUGCUGUAGAUUACAUGCUUGUGUGGUGGAUGUCACUGGGAGGGAAAAGGCAUUUGUAUUAUGUGCCUACUGGGUGCCAGGCAGCCAGGCACUGUACUCGGGCACUCAAGGUUCAUUGUUCCACCUGACUUUUGUCAUCAGCCUAUGGGGUAUGUUUUAUGGGGAAAUUUAGGCUUUGGGUGUUAGGUUACUGUUAAAAUGUGGAAGCCCUGGCCUAGGUACCACCUAAAUAGCCUCUUAUCUGUCAGCGAAGCUGUGUACCACCAACUGUGUUGUGGUACCCUCCAUUGAUGGUUCCCUUGAUUUUUUUCCUCUUCCUCCCUGCUGCUCCCAAAGCAAACCUCAGUCCUCGACUCAAGUGCCCUCAAGACCCGGGUGCAGCUCAGCAAGAGAAGCCGCCGCCGGGCCCCCAUCUCCCACUCCCUCCGGCGCAGCCGAUUUAGUGAGUCCGAGAGCAGAUCACCUUUGGAGGAUGAGACUGACAACACGUGGAUGUUCAAAGACUCAACGGAGGAGAAAUCACCCAGGAAGGAAGAGUCAGAUGAGGAGGAGAAGCCAUCCAAAGCUGAGAGGACCCCCGUCAGCCAUCCUCAGAGGAUGCCCGCGUUUCCAGGCAUGGAUCCGGCAGUGCUAAAGGCUCAGCUGCACAAGAGGCCAGAGGUGGACAGUCCUGGCGAGACCCCCAGCUGGGCACCCCAACCCAAGAGCCCCAAGUCCCCCUUCCAGCCUGGGGUGCUGGGCAGUCGCGUGCUGCCUUCCAGCAUGGACAAGGAUGAGAGGUGAGGGGUCUUGGGGAAUGGGGGUCCCUCUCCUUCCAAACUCAGGGUAUACUUCUAGAGAGGUGCUCGCAUAGGUUUUAGAGCUGAAUAGAAGAGAGUUUCAACUUUUUAAUUUUGUCUAGCAGCAGAAGCUUUGUUCAUGUGAAUUCUCAAUACUCAGAUACCUAAAAGGUACAACACAGGCCGGGGAAGGAGGCCAGGAAUCAGGCCAGCUGGCCUCUCCUCUUCCCCCGCCCACUGCCACCUGCUACAUGGAAUGCCAGGGCACCAUUGUUGGAGAACUACUGAUCUAGUUUAGCCCUCUCCAGACCGAUGGGGAAACUGAGGCAUUCUCCCUCCUCUUCCCCUUUGGGGAAGUAUCUUUAUCGUAAGAGAUCUGGAGGACCUGGGAAGGUGGAUCAAAGGGCACGGCCAGGUUGAAUGAGAUCAGUUUCACUCCCUUCGUGGAACAGCUAUCCCGAUCCUGGGCUGUUGUGUGUAGAGACGAGCACAAAGCAGCUUCUGCCCCCCAAGAGGCUCUCAGGCUCUCAGGCUCUCAGAGGGGUGUUUCAGCAGCUGGAGGUGGAGGUUAAGAACAGGGGAUCUAAGGUCACACAGCCAGGGUUUAAUUCCACCAUUGCUGCUUAAGAGCUGCAUGACAUGGGAAAAGGUACUUGACCUCCUGAACCUCAGUUUCCUCAUCUGUAAAGUGGGUUUUCUAACCUCCUAACCUUCCGAGGUGGUCAUGAGGAUGAAACAAGAGUGUGUCUAAAGCCCUGUGCCUGAGCCCUGGGAUGUAGAAGUACUCAGUGAAGCAGAGUGGAAAUCUUAUCAUGAGCACUGUUAAUCCAUGAAAGUUAGGGAUUGUUCCUGAUGCUAGAGUUGUAAUGAUAGUAAGGGCUGGCUGGAUCAGAGCAAGAGUGGGUAAGCUAUGGCCCACAGGCCAAAUCCAGCCCACAUCUGUUUUUGUGAGUAAGCUUUAUUGGAACACAGCCACAUGCAUUCAUUUAUGUAUUGUCUAUAACUGCUUUAGUGCUACCACUGCAGAGUUAAGAAGGAGCACAGAUGCCCCACAGCCCACAGAAUCAGGAAUAUUUUACUCUCUGGCCCUUUCUCUGACCCCUGUGAUGGAGGGAGGCAGAUGAAGGGCUCAUAAUGCACACUUGAGGAUGGGCGGCAGAAAAGACUUCCAGCUGGGUGCAGUGGCUCACGUCUAUAGUCCCAGGACUUUGGAAGGCAGAGGUGAGAGGAUCACUUGAGGCCAGGGGUUGGAGGCUGCAGUGAGCUAUGAUUGCACCAUUGCACUCCAGCCUGGACUAAAUAAAGAAUGAGACCUUGUCACGAAAAAUAAAAAAAGAAAUAAAGAAA